UAGUGUAAACCUUCUCAAAGCAAGCAGUUUGAGUGACCAAAUUUAUUAUAAAAAUGGAGGAGAAGAACCAAGAAGUAUAUGAUGAUCUAAGCGAAAAUUCGUUACAAAGUAGUGAGGAGGAGCACUGUAGAAAAUAUUUAGAGAUGAAAGCAGAAGAAAAAAAAAAAAAAUAUGAAGAGAAGAAAAAAAAAAAAUUGUAAAGAGGAAAAGUGAUGAGGACGCUGAAAAGUAUGCGGAUAAAUUAAAAAAAACACAAGUUCAAAAGGAAAAUCAAAAUCAGAAAAAAAAAAAAGGAUACGAAAAAUUAGAACAACUCAACAAACUGUUCGAAAAAAAAGAAAAUCUAUAUAGACAAAAAAAUUCAGCAAUCUCCACUCUGCGAGAUUGCUCAAAUUGUCAACAGCAAAUAAAAAUCAGAAAUUCGGCUGAUGCCGAAAUAAGGAAAAUAAAACUUGAAAUCGAAACAUUAAAUGCGUCAAUGUGACGGCAUUAUAUGUGAAACUUGGAACUUUAAAAUUAAAUUUAAAAGUUCAUUAACAUAAGACAAUUAGUCAUUUAACAAUUAUCAUUUAAUAAUUUUCAUUUUAUAAUAUCUUUUAAAAAUUAUUAUUUAAUAAUUUAAAUUAUAAGUUCAGAAAAAUGUAAUGAUUUUCCUUAAUUU
Long non-coding RNA from Leptopilina boulardi, 661 nucleotides. RefSeq lists it as uncharacterized. The transcript is spliced from 4 exons. The record is from RefSeq and is a predicted model, not a curated record. Lineage: Eukaryota; Metazoa; Arthropoda; Insecta; Hymenoptera; Figitidae.